GAUGAACGCUGGCGGCGUGCCUAAUACAUGCAGGUCGAGCGAACAGACGAGGAGCUUGCUCCUCUGACGUUAGCGGCGGACGGGUGAGUAACACGUGGAUAACCUACCUAUAAGACUGGGAUAACUUCGGGAAACCGGAGCUAAUACCGGAUAAUAUAUUGAACCGCAUGGUUCAAUAGUGAAAGACGGUUUUGCUGUCACUUAUAGAUGGAUCCGCGCCGCAUUAGCUAGUUGGUAAGGUAACGGCUUACCAAGGCAACGAUGCGUAGCCGACCUGAGAGGGUGAUCGGCCACACUGGAACUGAGACACGGUCCAGACUCCUACGGGAGGCAGCAGUAGGGAAUCUUCCGCAAUGGGCGAAAGCUUGACGGAGCAACGCCGCGUGAGUGAUGAAGGUCUUCGGAUCGUAAAACUCUGUUAUUAGGGAAGAACAAAUGUGUAAGUAACUAUGCACGUCUUGACGGUACCUAAUCAGAAAGCCACGGCUAACUACGU
RNAcentral lists this ribosomal RNA (496 nucleotides) under uncultured bacterium. RNAcentral's name for it is "partial 16S ribosomal RNA". It matches the Rfam family "Bacterial small subunit ribosomal RNA", at positions 28 to 506 of the family's 1533-position model. The record is from RNAcentral.